AUUUUUUUGAGAGUUUGAUCCUAGCUCAGGAUGAACGCUUGCUGUGUGCCUAAUACAUGCAUGUUGAACGGGAUGUUUUAGUUUACUAAAACAUUUAGUAGCGAAUGGGUGAGUAACACGUACCUAACCUACCUUUAGGAUUGGGAUAACUACUGGAAACAGUAGCUAAUACCGAAUAUAAUAUUUUUUCGCAUGAAGAAAUAUAGAAAGGAGCCUUUAAAGCUUCACCUAGAAAUGGGGGUGCGGAACAUUAGUUAGUUGGUGAGGUAAUGGCUCACCAAGACAAUGAUGUUUAGCGGGGCCAAGAGGUUGUACCGCCACACUGGGACUGAGAUACGGCCCAGACUCCUACGGGAGGCAGCAGUAAGGAAUUUUCCACAAUGAGCGAAAGCUUGAUGGAGCGACACAGCGUGCAGGAUGAAAUCCCUCGGGAUGUAAACUGCUGUUAUAAGGAAAGAAAAAAUCAAAUAGGAAAUGAUUUGAUCUUGACGGUACCUUAUUAGAAAGCGACGGCAAACUAUGUGCCAGCAGCCGCGGUAAUACAUAGGUCGCAAGCGUUAUCCGGAAUUAUUGGGCGUAAAGCGUCCGUAGGUUUUUUGUUAAGUUUAAGGUUAAAUACUGAAGCUCAACUUCAGCCCGCUUUAGAUACUGGCAAAAUAGAAUUAUGAAGAGGUUAGCGGAAUUCCUAGUGUAGCGGUGGAAUGCGUAGAUAUUAGGAAGAACACCAAUAGGCGAAGGCAGCUAACUGGUCAUACAUUGACACUAAGGGACGAAAGCGUGGGGAGCAAACAGGAUUAGAUACCCUGGUAGUCCACGCUGUAAACGAUGAUCAUUAGUUGGUGGUAUUAAAUCACUAACACAGCUAACGCGUUAAAUGAUCCGCCUGAGUAGUAUGCUCGCAAGAGUGAAACUUAAAGGAAUUGACGGGAACCCGCACAAGCGGUGGAGCAUGUGGUUUAAUUUGAAGAUACGCGUAGAACCUUACCCACUCUUGACAUCCUUGCAAAGCUAUAGAGAUAUAGUGGAGGCUAACAAGAUGACAGAUGGUGCAUGGUUGUCGUCAGCUCGUGUCGUGAGAUGUUAGGUUAAGUCCUGCAACGAGCGCAACCCCUUUCUUUAGUUACUAACGUGAAAGACGAGGACUCUAAAGAUACUGCCUGUGUAAGCCGGAGGAAGGUGGGGACGACGUCAAAUCAUCAUGCCUCUUACGAGUGGGGCAACACACGUGCUACAAUGGCUACUACAAAGAGACGCAAGACGGUGACGUUAAGCAAAUCUCAAAAAAGUAGUCCCAGUUCGGAUUGAAGUCUGCAACUCGACUUCAUGAAGUCGGAAUCGCUAGUAAUCGCAGAUCAGCUACGCUGCGGUGAAUACGUUCUCGGGUUUUGUACACACCGCCCGUCACACCAUGGGAGUUGGUAAUGCCCAAAGUCGGUGAGUUAACUUCGGAGACCAUUGCCUAAGGCAGGACUGAUGACUGGGGUGAAGUCGUAACAAGGUAUCCCUACGAGAACGUGGGGAUGGAACACCUCCUUUCU
Molecule: ribosomal RNA, 1538 nt
Filed under: Mesomycoplasma conjunctivae
Lineage: Bacteria; Bacillati; Mycoplasmatota; Mycoplasmoidales; Metamycoplasmataceae
Description: Mycoplasma conjunctivae 16S ribosomal RNA
Rfam family: Bacterial small subunit ribosomal RNA
Source: RNAcentral